AAGUCGUAACAAGGUUUCCGUAGGUGAACCUGCGGAAGGAUCAUUACAAAAACAAAAUCCAAACCACACCACUGUGCUCUUUAUUGUGAGAAAAAUGUCUUUGUGUGUUGUUGUUGUGUUGUGUUGGGGGAAAGGAAAGAAAUUUUAUUUUUUUCCUUUCUUUCCUUCACUCUCACACACACACACACAAGCUUUCUCUCACAUGUCUUUGUUUUCAAUUUUUCAUUACUCCUUGUUUAACCAACAACGGAUUACAAUGUUAAAACUUGAAACAAACAAACAAAACAAAAUGACAACUUUUAACGGUGGAUCUCUUGGCUCGU
RNAcentral lists this unclassified non-coding RNA (323 nucleotides) under fungal sp. Its description in RNAcentral is "partial internal transcribed spacer region". The stretch from base 1 to 46 matches the Rfam family "Eukaryotic small subunit ribosomal RNA", at positions 1786 to 1831 of the family's 1831-position model. Lineage: Eukaryota; Fungi. The record is from RNAcentral.